AUAUAUUGCCUCAUAAAAGACCUGGAAAUCCUUCAAAUCUGCAAGUCGUGGUGGCCUCUGAAAGGUUGCAUGUUCCUCUUUCCUUUGAUGUCGUGUUCCCGUCCAACGUUGGCUACAUAUAUCGCCUUUUAAAAGACCUGGCAAGCCUUCAAAUCUUCAAGUCUUGGUGGCAUCUGAAAGGUCGCAAGUUUGUCUUUCCAUUAAUGUCGUGUUCCCGUCCAACGUUGGCUACAUAUAUCGCCUCAUAACAGAUGUGGAAAUCCUUCAAAUCUGCAAGACCUGGUAGCAUCUGAAAGGUCUUGUUCCUGUCCAACGUUGGCUACAUAUAUCGCCUCAUAACAGAUCUGGAAAUCCUCCAAAUCUGCAAGACCUGGUGGCAUAUCAAAGGUGGCAUGUUCCUCUUUCCUUUGAUGAGGAGUACUAUCACCUCUUGGCUGAGAAGAUCUACAAGAUCCAGAAGGAGAUCCAGAAGGAGCUGUAGGAGAAGCAACAGAAGAGGAUGCAGGAUUCAGGAGGUAUUGAUGCUGCCGCUGGAGGCAUUCCCAUGACGGCAGCAGCGCUGCUGCCUCAGCCUCCCCACUAACUGCCCAGAUCAGUAUGUCCACUGGGAAAAUGUAGCUCUUUCAACCAACUUAUAUCAGAACUAUGCUGUACAAAACUAUAUGGUCUUGAAGGGUUAUUUUGGUGUCAGUGUUGCUUUGGCUCAGCAAUGGAAAGUGGACUGGUAGAAUGGGGCGUCAGGUUGGUUGUACGAUGUAAACAACAAAUAAAAGUGUAAUGCAAAUGUGAAUUUUAGGUUUUGAAACACAUUCCAUAUCUCAGUAUGUGGAAUGAAGAUGUCGAUUGUACCCAUAGUCAGUAAAUGUAACUAACUCAAGCUUUAAAUUGUAUAUCUAAUAUGAGCUUCACUCAUUAGGUGCUUCUGGAAAAUUUGUAUCUCUUUUUUUCCGCACACGGCUGUUCUUGCUUAUUGUCUUGAUCAGGACUUGAACAAAGCUUUUGCCACAAAUAAAUUAGAUUGCUAAUUUGAUAGACAAACUAACAGAUAUUUACAUGUAUGUACAUAGGGUCUGCUGCUUG
Molecule: long non-coding RNA, 1080 nt
Filed under: Acanthaster planci (crown-of-thorns starfish)
Lineage: Eukaryota; Metazoa; Echinodermata; Asteroidea; Valvatida; Acanthasteridae
Description: uncharacterized LOC110978335, transcript variant X3
Source: RNAcentral